Molecule: ribosomal RNA, 776 nt
Filed under: uncultured Neocallimastigales
Lineage: Eukaryota; Fungi; Neocallimastigomycota; Neocallimastigomycetes; Neocallimastigales
Description: partial large subunit ribosomal RNA
Rfam family: Eukaryotic large subunit ribosomal RNA
Source: RNAcentral
AGAGAGAGACAUGCGCGCAUAUCAAUAAGCGGAGGAAAAGAAACUAACUAGGAUUCCCUCAGUAACGGCGAGUGAAGCGGGAAGAGCUCAAAUUUGAAAUCUUCAAGGUUCUACCUUGACGAAUUGUAGUUUAAAGAAGUGUUUUCUGUUGGAGUUUUGGUAAAAGUUCUUUGGAAUAGGACAUCAUAGAGGGUGAGAAUCCCGUAUUUGACCAUUAUUUCCAGCUUUGUGAUACACUUUCAAAGAGUCGGAUUGUUUGGGAAUGCAGUCCAAAAUGGGUGGUAAAUUUCAUCUAAAGCUAAAUAUUGGCGAGAGACCGAUAGCGAACAAGUACCGUGAGGGAAAGAUGAAAAGAACUUUGAAAAGAGAGUUAAACAGUACGUGAAAUUGUCAAAAGGGAAGCGUUUGACACCAGUGUUGUUUUCUCGAAAAUCAAUUAAAAAGAGUUAGGAUUUUGUUGUGUAUUGACCUUAUCAGCUUUGCAUUUCAUUUUCUUGUCUUUUUUAAUGCACUUUUCGUUUAACAAGUCAACAUCAGUUUCUUUUGUUGUAAAAAGGUCAUUGGAAGGUGGCUUUCUUUUCGGAGAAAGUGUUUAUAGCCUUUGGCCUCUGCAAUCGGAGAGAUUGAGGUCUGCAGCGUAGAUCCUUCGGGGUUAGAUACAUUUGUGCUAAGUUAUAGCCUUUCAUAGACAACUUGUUGUACUAUGAUCAGUCAUGUAGCUUACUCGCUUAUGCUAUUUUACCUACGCUUAGGAUGUUGAUGUGAUACUGCGAGCA